GAUGAACGCUGGCGGCGUGCUUAACACAUGCCAGUCGAACGAAGCACUUUAUUUGAUUUCCUUCGGGACUGAUUAUUUUGUGACUGAGUGGCGGACGGGUGAGUAACGCGUGGGUAACCUGCCUUGUACAGGGGGAUAACAGUUGGAAACGGCUGCUAAUACCGCAUAAGCGCACAGCAUCGCAUGAUGCAGUGUGAAAAACUCCGGUGGUAUAAGAUGGACCCGCGUUGGAUUAGCUAGUUGGUGAGGUAACGGCCCACCAAGGCGACGAUCCAUAGCCGACCUGAGAGGGUGACCGGCCACAUUGGGACUGAGACACGGCCCAAACUCCUACGGGAGGCAGCAGUGGGGAAUAUUGCACAAUGGGCGAAAGCCUGAUGCAGCGACGCCGCGUGAGCGAAGAAGUAUUUCGGUAUGUAAAGCUCUAUCAACAGGGAAGAUAAUGACGGUACCUGACUAAGAAGCACCGGCUAAAUACGUG
Molecule: ribosomal RNA, 481 nt
Filed under: uncultured bacterium
Lineage: Bacteria
Description: partial 16S ribosomal RNA
Rfam family: Bacterial small subunit ribosomal RNA
Source: RNAcentral